Long non-coding RNA from Triticum urartu, 1153 nucleotides. RefSeq lists it as uncharacterized. Lineage: Eukaryota; Viridiplantae; Streptophyta; Magnoliopsida; Poales; Poaceae. The record is from RefSeq and is a predicted model, not a curated record.
UCAUAUACAUCGCCCAUCUGUCCCCUUCCAUCCUCGCUUUCCAACCUUCACCAACUCCCCUCUUCGCUCGUCAGUGUCAUCCAGUCGUCCUCUUCCUCUCCUCGAUUGCGUGGUUACCAGAUCUGGACUAGCGGCACCGCUGCUGCACACGAGCAGAUCGAGACGGCGGGAGGAAUCUUGCAGCUGAUAUAGUUCUCAAAGGAACGAUCUAAAUUUCAUUUUCCUCAAUAAAUUCAAUGCAGCUUGACAUCCGUGGCGAGAUUGACCUAUAUCUAAUUAAUAAGAGUACUCUUGCCAUCCAACAAAUGGCAAAGCAAACUGCAGCUAGCGGUAGCAGCAGUUGGUGGCUUGAUCACGAAUUCAGGAUAAGGAGCACUGGUAUGUCGAGGUGUUUCCUGACAUCUACAGUGUGGUAUGCGAAAAAGAUACUUCGUAGCUCCUGAGAUCCCAGAAAAUAUAUCAAUCAAGGCGUGCCAAAAUGCUAUUGGUUGAUCUAAUUUUCUCUAAAUUAUUGUGUUUGCGCAAAACCCUCUAUUUUAUCAACCAUGUUAGUCACCUACUGAGGAAGGCAAUGAUUCAUCCACUCGAUGCAACUCAUGAUAUUCCAUGCCCUUUUCAGGACCACAAUUGCACAUAUCUUACCAUUGUGUAUUGCUGAAAAUGUCUAAUGAAAUUACUUUAUAAAAGUGUGGAAGUUUAAUUUGACGAUAUGACAUCCAAAAUUUUCUUUGUUGUUCUGCACAUCUUAUAUUAAAUAGUAGUAAUGCAAGAUGAAUCCACCUUCUCUGAAUAAUAGAAGGGCCUUGAUGUUUACAUGUCACUUUUUUCUUGAUUCUGAAGUUGCCCUUCGGUGAUUUUCAUGUUUAAUUUCCGGCAUUUCUUUUCCUCAUGUGGAGGGAUGGAUCAAAGUAAAUGGACGGGAGAUUUCUGAUGGAGUGGCACAAUUCAAAUUUGGGGUUAUAGUCUUAUAGAUAUGUGGUGAUAUUUCAGUUGUAGCUUUUUUUCCACUUACAAAAGAAGCGGAGAUGGUGGGCAUGUAUUGAAGCCAUGGACCAUUUGGGUUCCACGUGUAAACUUCCAUAUAAUCCUCUAAUAUGUGUGUUCGUCAGUUGUCCAAACUUUGAUUGAUAUAAGUAUGUAUUAUUCUACAGUA